RNAcentral lists this ribosomal RNA (500 nucleotides) under Pichia kudriavzevii. RNAcentral describes it as "eukaryotic LSU rRNA". It matches the Rfam family "Eukaryotic large subunit ribosomal RNA", at positions 98 to 609 of the family's 3401-position model. The record is from RNAcentral. Lineage: Eukaryota; Fungi; Ascomycota; Pichiomycetes; Pichiales; Pichiaceae.
GCGGCAAGAGCUCAGAUUUGAAAUCGUGCUUUGCGGCACGAGUUGUAGAUUGCAGGUUGGAGUCUGUGUGGAAGGCGGUGUCCAAGUCCCUUGGAACAGGGCGCCCAGGAGGGUGAGAGCCCCGUGGGAUGCCGGCGGAAGCAGUGAGGCCCUUCUGACGAGUCGAGUUGUUUGGGAAUGCAGCUCCAAGCGGGUGGUAAAUUCCAUCUAAGGCUAAAUACUGGCGAGAGACCGAUAGCGAACAAGUACUGUGAAGGAAAGAUGAAAAGCACUUUGAAAAGAGAGUGAAACAGCACGUGAAAUUGUUGAAAGGGAAGGGUAUUGCGCCCGACAUGGGGAUUGCGCACCGCUGCCUCUCGUGGGCGGCGCUCUGGGCUUUCCCUGGGCCAGCAUCGGUUCUUGCUGCAGGAGAAGGGGUUCUGGAACGUGGCUCUUCGGAGUGUUAUAGCCAGGGCCAGAUGCUGCGUGCGGGGACCGAGGACUGCGGCCGUGUAGGUCAC